UACCAUAUUGUGCAUGCU
Molecule: microRNA, 18 nt
Filed under: Gadus morhua (Atlantic cod)
Lineage: Eukaryota; Metazoa; Chordata; Actinopteri; Gadiformes; Gadidae
Description: gmo-miR-11184a-3p
Source: miRBase by way of RNAcentral